Molecule: long non-coding RNA, 875 nt
Organism: Rana temporaria (common frog)
Lineage: Eukaryota; Metazoa; Chordata; Amphibia; Anura; Ranidae
Exons: 3
Source: RefSeq, a predicted model, not a curated record
CAGUCUCUAUGUAUGUCUCAGUGAGGGGAAACUGCAGCACUUACACAGUCUGUUCUCUCUCAGUAAGAAUUCACUGUUCUCUUUCUGCCACAUGUCUCUUUCUUCACCCACUCACCCACAAAACCCCUUGCCAUCCUCUGCUCUUGAUGACCUCCUCCUUGGUGAGAAAGAGAGCAUAGCAGUCAUAUUGAAAAAGGCAAACAAACACUGCAUAACAGGAGUAUACACUCGGCAAAUGUGCAAAGAAAUUAUCACAUCACUAAAACUGUAUUAGGAUACAGAGAACAUACACACGCAGCACAUGGCCGUGCUCGCACUACGAGACAUUUCUCGGGCUGCAUUUCCCCUGAGCUCUACAAGGUGGUGAUCUUCUCACUUCCACCCAGACAGGAAGUCUUUAUGGAAGACAGGAAGUGAUGUCACAUAUAGAAAGGAAGUUCAGGGUGAGAGGUGAGUCGGGAGGAAGUCGAGUGGAGACAUUGUUGGACCUGGUAGUAGAGGAGAGUGGAAACAUCGGGGAUGAUAAUAUUGUGGUUAAAUAAGAGUAAAAAGAGGAGUAUGAGGAGUAUGGAGUGAUGAAGCAGCUUUCUGAAGAACACAAGGACAUCAUGAUUGAGCAAUCAAGUAACAGAAACCCACCAGAGAGAUGUCCCCGUCCUCUGUAUUCCCGGGAUUACACACAGGAAGGUCACACCAUCUCCCACCAUCAUCAGAGUGGAAACCUUGAGGAUUAUAAUAGUGUUAUUAAAGAAGAGUACAAGCAAGAGGACGAGGAAUAUGGUGUAAUGAAAGAGCUUUCAGGACACAAGGAUAUGAUGGAGCUGCCUAAUAAUAGAAACCCACCAGAGAGAUGUCCCCGUCCUCUUUAUUCCCGG